AACGAACGCUGGCGGCAUGCCUAACACAUGCAAGUCGAACGAGACCUUCGGGUCUAGUGGCGCACGGGGGCGUAACGCGUGGGAACCUUCCCUUAGGUUCGGAAUAACUCCCCGAAAGGGGUGCUAAUACCGGAUAAUGUCUUCGGACCAAAGAUUUAUCGCCUUUGGAUGGGCCCGCGUUGGAUUAGCUAGUUGGUAGGGUAAAAGCCUACCAAGGCGACGAUCCAUAGCUGGUCUGAGAGGAUGAUCAGCCACACUGGGACUGAGACACGGCCCAGACUCCUACGGGAGGCAGCAGUGGGGAAUAUUGGACAAUGGGCGAAAGCCUGAUCCAGCAAUGCCGCGUGAGUGAUGAAGGCCUUAGGGUUGUAAAGCUCUUUUACCCGGGAUGAUAAUGACAGUACCGGGAGAAUAAGCUCCGGCUAACUCCGUG
This 433-nucleotide ribosomal RNA is filed under the name uncultured bacterium. RNAcentral describes it as "partial 16S ribosomal RNA". It matches the Rfam family "Bacterial small subunit ribosomal RNA", at positions 29 to 507 of the family's 1533-position model. The record is from RNAcentral.